UUCCUCCUCCUUCUGUCCUUCACAAUAUCUACCCUUUGUCUCUACCCUUCUCUGUCGCCAAUUAAAGAGAGAGCAAUAUUCAAAUGCAUUCACAUGAUUUUUUGGUGAUAAUGAUACAAUUACGGCUUACCUCAAAAUGGAGCUUCAGUUCGUCAUAUUGUUGCAGGAUCCUUGACAGGCAUGGAGCAAUGGCAAGCCACCGCGUAUCACACAGCUGCAGGAUCUUGAGAUUGAUAGUAGCGUAUAGGUCUGCAUACUUUUCUUGGCGGACAGUACUAUGUGAAAAGUAGCUGUAUGUUUGUGAUAUCAUGUAUUCAAAGUGGGUGGGCAACUCCUUCAUGGCAUAUGAAACGCAUAGUUGCAGAGAGUGGCAUAUGCACUUAAUAUGUGUGACAUGUGGCUUUAUUUCCCUUAAUCUGGAUAUGACUGAGUUAUGUGCUCCUGACAUGGUUUUGCAACCUGGUCUUGGAUUAGGGACGGCCACCUGCUAAAUCUUAAAUGGCAAGAUUUGUCUCACUUUGAGAUUUGUCAGAAUAGAGACUAAUACACUCUAAGUGAGUACUUUUCCAGGUGAAUAGUGCACACUGAUAAUGCUGAAUGACUGGGCAACACAAUAUUAGAUUAACCUUGUUUACAGUGUGAAUAUAACUACCAGAUGUUAAAGACUGUAGCUCUGGUUUCAAGAGAUAUAUCACGAUGAAGAAUUUCCAGUGUCUUACUAAGACGCCCUUAAAUUAAAUCACUUAUAUCUGAUUAUACAACACCAUACGGCUUCAUAGUUAAGCACAGGUUGGCUUGGGUGAUCCGGAGUUCCCCAGUGACAUCUGGUGGCCGCUCAAUUCACCAUCAGGUCCGGCAGUUGCCAGAUGUGAAGGUUCAACCAGUACUGCUGCUAUUUCAGAGGCGAGUGAGAGCGACCUGGUGGUGUUGAGGCACGAAAUAACACCAAACUGGCCGGACGGAUCCACUGAAGUCAAGGGAAUCACACUGGUCGAAUACGGAAAUCCCAACGGAGGUACAGUGCCACAGAGGUACAGUGGGUGUUCCAGCGGCGAUGUGUACGAAGAUGGUGCUCUGAGGGGAUCCAAACGCGGGGCUGUGUAUUACCGCUCAAACGCGACAUGUACUGUACCACCAAACAGUGCUGGCUCGCGUGAGGCAGGAAGGCAUCCAGGCCAAUACCACAUCCACCUUUGUGUGAUUCCGUGUUUGGAGGUGUGUUUGUGAGCGUGUUUGGAGGAA
This 1242-nucleotide long non-coding RNA is filed under the name Portunus trituberculatus (swimming crab). RNAcentral's name for it is "uncharacterized LOC123508161". Lineage: Eukaryota; Metazoa; Arthropoda; Malacostraca; Decapoda; Portunidae. The record is from RNAcentral.